CUGACUUAGAUAUUCUGCAUG
This 21-nucleotide non-coding RNA is filed under the name Caenorhabditis elegans. The record is from RNAcentral. Lineage: Eukaryota; Metazoa; Nematoda; Chromadorea; Rhabditida; Rhabditidae.